Molecule: ribosomal RNA, 497 nt
Filed under: uncultured bacterium
Lineage: Bacteria
Description: partial 16S ribosomal RNA
Rfam family: Bacterial small subunit ribosomal RNA
Source: RNAcentral
GAUGAACGCUGGCGGCGUGCCUAAUACAUGCAAGUCGAGCGAACAGAUAAGGAGCUUGCUCCUUUGACGUUAGCGGCGGACGGGUGAGUAACACGUGGGUAACCUACCUAUAAGACUGGGAUAACUUCGGGAAACCGGAGCUAAUACCGGAUAAUAUUUCGAACCGCAUGGCUCGAUAGUGAAAGAUGGUUUUGCUAUCACUUAUAGAUGGACCCGCGCCGUAUUAGCUAGUUGGUAAGGUAACGGCUUACCAAGGCGACGAUACGUAGCCGACCUGAGAGGGUGAUCGGCCACACUGGAACUGAGACACGGUCCAGACUCCUACGGGAGGCAGCAGUAGGGAAUCUUCCGCAAUGGGCGAAAGCCUGACGGAGCAACGCCGCGUGAGUGAUGAAGGUCUUCGGAUCGUAAAACUCUGUUAUUAGGGAAGAACAUACGUGUAAGUAACUGUGCACGUCUUGACGGUACCUAAUCAGAAAGCCACGGCUAACUACGUG